CGGACUGAAUGAUAAAUAGCAAAAGGAUUCCCUUUCGGUUUCGCCGAAGAAGACGUGAGACGACUGGGAAGUGCGUCCACCGGUAGGUCACAUGUGUCCACUGAUGAGUGCCCAGUAGGGGCAAUUAUAGUGUCACCGGUGUUUACCCGACUAUUAAAUAUCCAUCAGAAAGUUGGCUAUUAUUCACCUGAAGGCGCGGCAAUGGCAGCGUCUUAAAUAACAUCGAAAACAAAUUUAUUUAACAGCCAUCAAAGGGGAUUGGCCCAUUGCGUCUGUCAUAAAAAAAGUUAUUUGCCCUCUUACUGCGGAUCCAACUUAUUGAAUAUGAUUCCCAGAUGUCCUCCGCAACAUCAAAGGGAAAGCAGUGGAUUGGGUGGAGCAAAGUCGCAGGCUCAUGCAUAAUUUAAAGCAAUUUGGCAUUGUGCUGAAUCAAUUUCCACGCCCAGACAAUCAAACGGAAAGUAUUAAGACCCGAAAUCCAUUCCACGUGCUGCAGUGCUUCCCAUGCAAAUUAUACUCUUCAGCACUGCAGCACUUUUAUGUAAAUCCUUGCUCCAGGCACCAGGUGCCGCUGCCCAAAAUGGCAGUGAAUUAAAGCGCCGACAUUUUGUCAUAUUUAUUAAAAAUUUAUCAAUGUCAUAAAGUUUACCGCACCCGGACAAAAAAAAUUCCAAGAACACACGCACACAAUGGGCAACGAUCAAUCAACUUUAAAGCCCUCGCAAGAUUUACUUAGGUCCUCCAAUUGGACCCCAGAUGGUGCUUAAAGUCCGGCAGUUUCGCCUUAAUUCCACACAAAGUUCGGUAAUGGAGCUGUAGUUCUUAAAAAUAAAAAAUCGCCUUCUUAUUAAGACUAAAGAAUCUGUUUACACAAGUUCAUAUCAUUUAAAUUCAUUUUGUUUAUUGCUUAAGAACGUUUAAUCUAAAUGGAUAUAGUAUUAGUAUGUCAAGCCUAAAAGUAUACCAGUUUUUCUUUAAAUCAAAUGCGUUCAUUUAUAACUU
This is a non-coding RNA of Drosophila melanogaster (fruit fly), 1002 nucleotides long. NCBI's taxonomy places the organism in Eukaryota, Metazoa, Arthropoda, Insecta, Diptera, Drosophilidae. The record is from Ensembl.